This 1326-nucleotide ribosomal RNA is filed under the name metagenome. RNAcentral's name for it is "SSU rRNA". It matches the Rfam family "Eukaryotic small subunit ribosomal RNA", at positions 1 to 1361 of the family's 1831-position model. The record is from RNAcentral.
UCUGGUUGAUCCUGCCAGUAGUCAUAUGCUUGUCUCAAAGAUUAAGCCAUGCAUGUCUAAGUAUAAAUAGUAUACAGUGAAACUGCGAAUGGCUCAUUAAAACAGUUAUAGUUUAUUUGAUAAUUGGCAAUUACAUGGAUAACCGUGGUAAUUCUAGAGCUAAUACAUGCUUAAACGCCCGACUUUAUGGAAGGGUUGUAUUUAUUAGACUGAAGCCAAUAUUCCUUGUGUCUAUUGCGGUGAUUCAUAAUAACUGAUCGAAUCUCUUUUUGAGAUAAAUCAUUCAAGUUUCUGCCCUAUCAGCUUUCGAUGGUAGUGUAUUGGACUACCAUGGCAGUAACGGGUAACGGAGAAUUAGGGUUCGAUUUCGGAGAGGGAGCAUGAGAAACGGCUACCACAUCUAAGGAAGGCAGCAGGCGCGUAAAUUACCCAAUCCUGACUCAGGGAGGUAGUGACAAGAAAUAGCAAACCGGGAACCUCAUGGUUUCACGGUAUUGCAAUGAGAACAAUUUAAAACCCUUAGCGAGAAUCAAGUGGAGGACAAGUCUGGUGCCAGCACCCGCGGUAAUUCCAGCUCCACUAGCGUAUAUUAAAGUUGUUGCAGUUAAAAAGCUCGUGGUUGAACCUCUGUCUGGGGCUAGUUUUGGCUUUGGUCAGGCUAGUUCUAGGUAUCCGCCUACAAGACUUAGAGGGCAUUCAGUUGUUCACUAGGAGGAGUAGGCAUUUUACUUUGAAAAAAUUAGAGUGUUUAAGGCAGGCAAUCGCCCGCAUAUAUUAGCAUGGAAUAAUAGAAUAGGACACUUUUCCAUUUCGUUGGUUACUGGAAUCGUGUAAUGAUUAAUAGGGACAGUUGUGGGCAUUUGUAUUUAAUUGUCAGAGGUGAAAUUCUUGGAUUUAUUAAAGACAAACUAACGCGAAAGCAUUUGCCAAGGAUGUUUUCAUUAAUCAAGAACGAAAGUUAGGGGAUCAAAGACGAUCAGAUACCGUCCUAGUCUUAACUAUAAACUAUUCCGACUCAAUGUUUGACUGGCUUAUAUAACCAGUUGAGCGUUGUAUGAGAAAUCAAAGUCUUUAGGUUCUGGGGGGAGUAUGGUUGCAAAGCUGAAACUUAAAGGAAUUGACGGAAGAGCACAACCAGGAGUGGAUUCUGCGGCUUAAUUUGACUCAACACGGGGAAACUUACCAGGUUAAAACAAUAGUGGGAUUGACAGUUUGAGAGCGCUUUCUUGAUUGGUUGGGUGGUGGUGCAUGGCCGUUCUUAGUUGGUGGAGUGAUUUGUCUGCUUAAUUGCGUUAACGAACGAGACCUUAACCUGCUUACUAGACU